Molecule: long non-coding RNA, 780 nt
Filed under: Pongo abelii (Sumatran orangutan)
Lineage: Eukaryota; Metazoa; Chordata; Mammalia; Primates; Hominidae
Description: lincRNA
Source: RNAcentral
GCGGCGCCCCGGAGCUCGGGCCGGUGGAAGGUUCACCUGCUAGGCUCGUCCGACAUGUCUCGCGCUCCCAUCGCACUCCAGCGUUGCGCAGCCUGGAGGGACAGGACGGACACGCGUGUGCCUCCUUCUAAUUCAUCUUGUAUGGCUUCACCAUUGUGGUUGUCAAUAUGGCAUGCAGAAUUAUCCCUCUUUCCAGCUUCUAGAGUCUACCUGGUUUCCUGGGCUCAUGGCCCCUUCCUCCAUCUUCAAACCAGCAAUGGUGAGUUGGGUCUUAUUCACAUCGUAUCUCUCUGUGAUCAUCUUCUGCCCUCUCCUCCACUUUUAAAAACCUUUGUCAUUAGAUUGGACCUGCCUGAAUAAUCCAGGAUAAUCUUUGUAUUUUAAGUUGAGUUGAUUAACAGCCUUAAUUUCAUGUGCCAUCUUAAUUCUUUGCCAAGGAAAGUAACAUCGUCACAGGUUCUGAAGAUUAGGGCAUGGACAUCUUGGAAAAAGGGCACCAUUCUGCCUACUGCGAUUUCUAACUUAUCCUAUGAAGUAAAUCAUACCACGUAAAUUCCAAAUGCGAAGGAAUUCUUUUCCAUCUGUUUUUCUACAAAGAAAAACAACUGAAAUUGGCUUCAUACAACAAUUACAUGAGUAAACUUCCAGUUAUAAUUUAUAGUAGAAAGAGAAAGGUGUUUUCUGAUAAUGCAUUUUGGUUAAGAGCCAAAGAGUCUUCACUAAAAAUUUGCUGAAAAUACUGCUAUAAACAAUGACUAUUAAAGUUAAAUAAUCAUCAAG